RNAcentral lists this ribosomal RNA (320 nucleotides) under Ehrlichia canis. RNAcentral describes it as "bacterial SSU rRNA". It matches the Rfam family "Bacterial small subunit ribosomal RNA", at positions 63 to 388 of the family's 1533-position model. Lineage: Bacteria; Pseudomonadati; Pseudomonadota; Alphaproteobacteria; Rickettsiales; Anaplasmataceae. The record is from RNAcentral.
CGAACGGACAAUUAUUUAUAGCCUCUGGCUAUAGGAAAUUGUUAGUGGCAGACGGGUGAGUAAUGCGUAGGAAUCUACCUAGUAGUACGGAAUAGCCAUUAGAAAUGGUGGGUAAUACUGUAUAAUCCCCGAGGGGGAAAGAUUUAUCGCUAUUAGAUGAGCCUACGUUAGAUUAGCUAGUUGGUGAGGUAAUGGCUUACCAAGGCUAUGAUCUAUAGCUGGUCUGAGAGGACGAUCAGCCACACUGGAACUGAGAUACGGUCCAGACUCCUACGGGAGGCAGCAGUGGGGAAUAUUGGACAAUGGGCGAAAGCCUGAUC